GACACGGUCCAGACUCCUACGGGAGGCAGCAGUGGGGAAUUUUGGACAAUGGGGGCAACCCUGAUCCAGCCAUUCCGCGUGAGUGAAGAAGGCCUUCGGGUUGUAAAGCUCUUUCGCAAGAGAAGAAAACUUGCUAUCUAAUAAAUAGUAAGUAUGACGGUAUCUUGACAAGAAGCACCGGCUAACUAUGUGCCAGCAGCCGCGGUAAUACAUAGGGUGCAAGCGUUAAUCGGAAUUACUGGGCGUAAAGCGUUCGCAGGCGGUCUUAUAAGUCAGAUGUGAAAUCCCCGAGCUCAACUUGGGAACUGCGUUUGAAACUGUAAGACUAGAGUGUGUCAGAGGGGGGUAGAAUUCCAAGUGUAGCAGUGAAAUGCGUAGAGAUUUGGAGGAAUACCAAUGGCGAAGGCAGCCCCCUGGGAUAACACUGACGCUCAUGCACGAAAGCGUGGGGAGCAAACAGGAUUAGAUACCCUGGUAGUCCACGCCCUAAACGAUGUCUACUAGUUGUUGGUGGAGUAAAAUCCAUGAGUAACGCAGCUAACGCGUGAAGUAGACCGCCUGGGGAGUACGGUCGCAAGAUUAAAACUCAAAUGAAUUGACGGGGGCCCGCACAAGCGGUGGAUUAUGUGGAUUAAUUCGAUGCAACGCGAAAAACCUUACCUGGCCUUGACAUGUACCGAAUUUAGCAGAGAUGCUUUAGUGCUCGAAAGAGAACGGUAACACAGGUGCUGCAUGGCUGUCGUCAGCUCGUGUCGUGAGAUGUUGGGUUAAGUCCCGCAACGAGCGCAACCCUUGCCAUUAAUUGCCAUCAUUUAGUUGGGCACUUUAAUGGGACUGCCGGUGACAAACCGGAGGAAGGUGGGGAUGACGUCAAGUCCUCAUGGCCCUUAUGGCCAGGGCUUCACACGUAAUACAAUGGUCGGUACAGAGGGAAGCCAACCCGCGAGGGGGAGCCAAUCUCAGAAAGCCGGUCGUAGUCCGGAUUGUUGUCUGCAACUCGACAGCAUGAAGUCGGAAUCGCUAGUAAUCGCGGAUCAGCAUGUCGCGGUGAAUACGUUCCCGGGCCUUGUACACACCGCCCGUCACACCAUGGGAGUGGGUUUUACCAGAAGUAGUUAGUCUAUCCGCAAGGGGGACGAUUACCACGGUAGGAUUCAUGACUGGGGUGAAGUCGUAACAAGGUAGCCGUAUCGGAAGGUGCGGCUG
This 1206-nucleotide ribosomal RNA is filed under the name marine metagenome. RNAcentral's name for it is "bacterial SSU rRNA". It matches the Rfam family "Bacterial small subunit ribosomal RNA", at positions 323 to 1520 of the family's 1533-position model. The record is from RNAcentral.